RNAcentral lists this ribosomal RNA (397 nucleotides) under uncultured bacterium. RNAcentral describes it as "bacterial SSU rRNA". It matches the Rfam family "Bacterial small subunit ribosomal RNA", at positions 355 to 769 of the family's 1533-position model. The record is from RNAcentral.
UAGGGAAUAUUAGUAAUGGGCGAAAGCCUGAACUAGCAACGCCGCGUGUGCGAAGAAGGCCUUCGGGUUGUAAAGCACUUUUUGAGAGGAUGAGGAAGGACGGUACUCUCAGAAUAAGUCUCGGCUAACUACGUGCCAGCAGCCGCGGUAACACGUAGGAGGCGAACGUUAUCCGGAUUUACUGGGCGUAAAGCGCGUGUAGGUGGUUUGGUAAGUAGGGCGUGAAAGCUCCUGGCUCAACUGGGAGAGGCCGUUCUAAACUGCCGAGCUAGAGGAGAGUAGAAGGAGGUGGGAUUACGUGUGUAGCGGUAGAAUACGCAGAUAGCCGGUGGAACACCAGUGGCGAAAGCGUCCUCCUGGACCUCUCCUGACGCUCAGAAGCGAAGGCUAGUGUAGC